Molecule: ribosomal RNA, 859 nt
Filed under: uncultured Planctomycetota bacterium
Lineage: Bacteria; Pseudomonadati; Planctomycetota
Description: bacterial SSU rRNA
Rfam family: Bacterial small subunit ribosomal RNA
Source: RNAcentral
CGUUGGCGGCGUGGAUUAGGCAUGCAAGUCGUGCGAGAAGGGUUUGAUGCUUGCAUUAGACCUGGAAAGCGGCGAAAGGGAGAGUAACGCGUGGAUACCUACCCCCGGACCCAGGAUAGCUGCGGGAAACUGCGGGUAAUACUGGAUAAUGUCUCCGGACCAAAGGUGUGAUUCCGUCCGAGGAUGGGUCCGCGUCCUAUUAGCUUGUUGGUGGGGUAAUGGCCUACCAAGGCAAAGAUGGGUAGCAGGUGUGAGAGCAUGGCCCGUCUCACUGGGACUGAGACACUGCCCAGACACCUACGGGUGGCUGCAGUCGAGAAUCUUCCGCAAUGGGCGAAAGCCUGACGGAGCGACGCCGCGUGCGGGAUGAAGGCCUUCGGGUUGUAAACCGCUGUCAGAGGGGAACAAAUCCGUAGGGGUUCUCUCCUACGGUUGAGUGAUCCUCAGAGGAAGUCCGGGCUAAGUUCGUGCCAGCAGCCGCGGUAAGACGAACCGGACGAACGUUAUUCGGAAUCACUGGGCUUAAAGAGUGCGUAGGCGGCAUUGUAGGUGGGGUGUGAAAUCCCUCGGCUCAACCGAGGAACUGCGCUCCAAACCCCAAUGCUUGAGGGAGGCAGAGGUGAGCGGAACUGAUGGUGGAGCGGUGAAAUGCGUUGAUAUCAUCAGGAACACCAGUGGCGUAGGCGGCUCACUGGGCCUCUUCUGACGCUGAGGCACGAAAGCUAGGGUAGCGAACAGGAUUAGAUACCCUGGUAGUCCUAGCUGUAAACGAUGAGCACUUGUUCGAGGGGACCUCCACAUCCUCUCGGACGUAGCGAAAGUGCUAAAGCUCCCCCUGGGGAGUAUGGUCGCAAGGCAA